RNAcentral lists this long non-coding RNA (223 nucleotides) under Pan troglodytes (chimpanzee). RNAcentral describes it as "long non-coding RNA NONPTRT005773". Lineage: Eukaryota; Metazoa; Chordata; Mammalia; Primates; Hominidae. The record is from RNAcentral.
GAUCAGAUGAAUAAUAAAUGUGAAGCCCAACAGGAGCAAGAGGGGCAUACCUAUGUCUUCUGCACCUGUCAAAGGGGAACACUGCCAGCAGCAUUCCGUGGGGUGGCUCUAAGGACUAAACGAGGUCAUGGAUGGAAGUCUUCCUGUUACCAGAUACAAGCAACUCUAUUGCUGGCGUUGGCUCUCCUCUCAGCCUGGAAGACGUCACCAGGCCUCCCACUCC